GCAAGGCAUACCUAGAAUCCCUACUAUUGAGGUUGCUGAGGCUGGAGGAUCACUUGAGCUCAGAAGUUCUGAGUUGCAGGGAUUAGGCGUCCACACUAACUCUGUCACCAAUAUGGUGAACCCUGAGGAGUGGGAACCAUCAGCUUUCCUAGGGAGGAGCAAACUGGCCUAGGAUGUAAACAGAGAAGGUCAAAGUUCCUGUGCUGAUCAACAGUGGGAUAGGACCUGUGCGUGGCUGCUGCACUUCCAGCUUCAGCUGGAGAUUUCACCUCA
RNAcentral lists this non-coding RNA (273 nucleotides) under Phascolarctos cinereus (koala). The record is from RNAcentral. Lineage: Eukaryota; Metazoa; Chordata; Mammalia; Diprotodontia; Phascolarctidae.